UAUGCAAUUUUGUCUCAGUUUGACUGAAGAUAAGUUUUUAGCCUUUUUGGCUGGUUGACUCAGUUUCAUUCUAUAUAUAUACAUAUAUGUAAGUACGUAUAAGAUUCAGUUUCCCUAAUCAGUUAGAUAGGCAGACUUAUCUAGUCAUGACAUAGCUUCUGUCUUGAAUUAUUUAAUAUUUUUUUGUUUCUCUUUCAGUUUUUCUUUUGUUUCUAUUCUCAAGUUUACUCCUCGUUUUGCAGACAGCUUGGGUAAUUAUAAAGCGUAAUGCUGAAUAUAAGCCAUUGCAGUUCUUGGCUUUUGCAUUUGUUUAUCGGAUUUUUGAGAAACUGAAAGCCUUUGAAGCGCCUGUGUCACCAACAUUUACAGAGGAUGGUGAAGAUGAUGGGAGGGCAAUGAGAAUGGGAAAAAGACUUCUUCGAUCUCUUGGAUUAGUUUUUGGUUGUAUGGCGGUGGCCUCUUUGGUAACUAGUUUUGUUGAUUUCUUGCUUAAUGAUUAAGAUUUCUAAUAAUUUUUAUAAAAGAAUUUGCUGUAUAUCAUAAAAAACGAUGUUGUUAUUCAUGCAUCCGACAAUAUGGAGAAUCUUUAUCUUGUUCCAUGUUGGGCAAUGAGCGUUGAUUUCUGUUUUAGCUCAAUCUAACAUGUGAAUGUGCUACUGAACUCGUGUUAAUCAUAAAUUAGGAAAAAAAAAAGGUAUUUCCUGAGGAUUGCUGAAAAUCCUUCUAGGAAAAUGUAUUAUGCAUCAAAAGAAACGGGGUUGGGGUUAGUGCCUUCUGUAGUCAGAGUAAUCACUUUGGAUACCCUUGUGAGAAAAUUCCAAAA
Carica papaya (papaya) is the source of this 823-nucleotide non-coding RNA. The record is from RefSeq and is a predicted model, not a curated record. Lineage: Eukaryota; Viridiplantae; Streptophyta; Magnoliopsida; Brassicales; Caricaceae.